UCAACUAUUGUACUGCCUGACAGAAUUCCACCGUCUCCCACGCCUGGCUAUAGACGCAGUCCUGAGGCACCCUAAUGACUCGCGUGAAUUUACCGAAUGGACGCUCCAAAUUAGUAGCAAAUGUCACAUCUCUUAAAACUGAGGCCAUGCUCCCAACAUAACCUCCAGGUAGAUUCAGCUGCCUCCAGAAUCAUUAAAUCCGAGAAGUCAACAGCAAUUUCUAUUUUGUGAGUUUGCAGUUCUCAAACAUAUGUCAACACCAAAAUCUUGGUAAGUCCAUACGGGUAAAAACAGUGAUGAGUAACUUCCUGUGCACUUACCAUGCGCCCGGCCCAUUUCAUAAUCGCUUAUUGGACUUUCCCCACAGUUCUAGAGGCUCGAUCCUAUCAUUAUCCUCGUUUUAGACAUACGGGAGCUGGAGGUAAAUGUUUUGCCCAAGUUCAGACAUGCAGCCGCACCCCACAGACCACUAAGUGACAAGGCGCUCACACUUGUGCAUUCUCUCUAUUGUUUUAACUAUCAAAAGAGGGGAAAAAAAGAUGUCCGCAGGUUUAGCCUCAAGGAAAGCUAACCUAUGAAACUGCAAAAAAUACAGAGAAAUUAUUUAAGAGCCUAUUUUUUAUUUCUCAACAACAUAGACGGAUGUCAUCUUCAUUCUUUUGAAACAUGGAGGCCUUAUAUCCCAAAUUUGAACACGUGGGCUGGAUUUUAACUGGAAAAAAAUAACUUGCUCUUCUUUGGGAUUGUGGCGGGAGGAGGCCGGACAGGCAAACUCAAAAUUUAAGGCCACCACCGUGGGCGUGUAGUUCAAAAAAGAGAGAAUUACAGAGCUUUCUUCCCCAGAGAGAUGCUGUUGGCCUGGCAGAGCCCUGACAGUUGGCAACUCCCAAAACUGCGUAAUUUUCCAUUCUCAUUUAUAAAACAAUUGCAGGAAUGUUGACAAGUAUAAUACGCAUAAGAAAGCCACUUAAAUUAAUAAUGGCCAUCAUUUACCGAAUGCUUACUAUCUGGCACAGAGCUAAUAAUGUUUUAUAUAUGGUCUUUCUUCUUAAAAAGACUCUGAGAAGCCAGUAUCACAUGCCCAUUCUGCAGAUGACAGCUGGAAGACUCGGAAUGUAAGUCAUCCAUCCGAUGAGCUGGUCCACCAGGCACGUCGUGUCCAGAGGCCCCGCCCUACGCCUCUGUGCUCUGCGGCGUCCUCCAGCCCCGAGAGAAGCUGCCUUUCAGUCCUCCUGUCUGUCUGUUCCUUCACUCCAUUUCCCAGGUUAAGGUGCUGGCUUUUCAAGGUCAUGAAACCAUGAUACAGAACGUUUUCGAUCCCUAAAGAGAUCUGCAAUUUCUUUCCAAAGAUGAAGGUGUUAACCUUGGAGUCUUGGACAAAUUUCAAAUCCAGUAAUUGCAUUCUGCCUGUUUUGACUUUACUCAGAAGUAAGAUCAUUGAAAAACAUCCUAGAACAAAAGGUUUCUGUUGCGAGGACCUAAGCCAGUAGUUUCGAUCCUGGGAGCAGUUUGUCCGAAUGACAGGAAAACUGAUGUCAGAAGAAAACUUCCAGAAGUUACGAGGCUACAAAGCAGCAGAGCUGGACUUGAAGCCCGGACAUCUUAGCAUCAAAGACUCUGGCCUCAGCCCCGUUGGGAUGGACGGCUGAGCAGCUCAGUGCUGCGCUGUCCACGCAGGCCCCGUAGCCAUAGUUCAGAAAGAAGUUGUUUAAAAAGGCAGAUUUCUGGAUCCCAGUGGUGGAAAUCUCUGGGAGUGGGGCCCGGGAGUCUCUGUUUAGAAUGAGCCGCCUGGAGUCGUCCUUGUGCACACUGCAGUUUGAGAAGUCGACUAUACGGGUGCCUUGUCUGGCUCCAGGAGGUAAAUGGAGACUCAGUCAACUGUGAUCAUUGUCCUGCUUGGGGCCAGAUUGAAGAAAUGCUGAGCUGGGGGGCUACCUACAGAGUCGCGUUCUUGAAUGAAUGAUUCAUUCCAUAAUCAUCUACUGACAAUCCUCACGUCCUCAGGGCUCCAUCCACGGCCUUCUUUUCACUUUCCACAGCAUCCCCAGGUGAUCUCAACCACACGUGGUCUCUGUCACCACCAGUUGCCUGUGCAUCUUGUCCAGCAACCCAAACAUGGCAGCAAACUCUUUGUCACUCCUCCCAUCGAGAGGCAGGGUCUAGACCCCCUCCCUAGUGUCUGGACAGGCUUGUGACAGCUCGAAGAACAGAGCACCAGGAAGUGAUGCUCUGUUAUUUCAGAAGGUUGGUCAUAAAAGGUAUGCGGCUUCUACCUGGCUCUCCGGGAUGCUCCCUCGCAGAAUCUAGCCACCAUGCUUCCAGAAGCCCAAGCCACAUAGAUGAGCUUUGAGUCCAGCCUCCAAGUCAGUGCACCCCUGAUCCAGACAUAUGAGUAGAGAAGCUUCUGGAUGACUCCAGCCGUCAGCCUUUCAAGUUACCCUCAGCUCCAGGUCUUCUCACACAUGGUGGGGUAGGGACAAGCUCCCCACUGCUGGCUUCCAUCCAAAUUCCUGACCCACUGAAGCUGUGAUCCUAAUGAAAUACCUGUUGUUUUAUGCCUCGAAUUUGGGAGUGGUUUGUUAUGCGGGAUUAGUAACCAGAACAAGCAGCAACUGAACAUCCCACAAAAACCUGAACUGUGACAUCUGAAAUGGCAUUCAUCGCCUUUCUCCUUCCUGACAGGUGCCAUAUUGCGGAGAUGGUCCCCAUCCACACCGUGUCGGUUAGGGAUGCAAAUAACAAAAGCCUCACUAAGCCACCGGAAAGAAGUGGGGCUGGGCAAGGUCACAUAUUUUCUUUCUCAAAACAAGAAACUCGAGGUGAGAUGCUGCUGGCAUUGACUCCGCUGCUCAACGAUGCUUCGAGGAUCAAAGACCUAUUUUUUAAUCCCUGCAUUCUCAUGCUGGGCUUGACAUCAAAGAUGGUUGCUGCCUCUCCAGACAUUGUGUGUGUGUGUGUGUUUAAUACGUUAUUCUGUUGCAAGAAAGAAGUAGGAGAUGGUUAUUGGGACAGAGUGUACCUAACAACGUCACUGCCAGAUUCGUUGUCAACCCAGAAAUAGAAGUGCUGCCUUCUUCCCAGGGCCCCGACCAAUCAGGGAGGUGUCCUCUCUAUUUACUCUCCUCUGAAACUCACCUGCCUCUGCCCAGCCUCUGCUCCUUCCUCAGCUCAGACCCCUGACAUCUCUGGGAUUACUGGAACGAUAGGUCUCAUUGCCUCCAGUCUGGACGCCCCCUCCCCGCCUCCACAAGGCUGCGCUGAGUGGUCUGGCCAGCAUGCAAAUGUUGACUUGUCCCCAUUGCCACCACCC
Molecule: long non-coding RNA, 3310 nt
Filed under: Equus caballus (horse)
Lineage: Eukaryota; Metazoa; Chordata; Mammalia; Perissodactyla; Equidae
Description: lncRNA (ENSECAG00000030148.3)
Source: RNAcentral